UGAUCUUCCUCAUCUGUAAUAUUUUCUUGUGUACCACUAUUUAAUUAGUGAAACUCUUUUCGGUGGAUGUAGGCAGCUGCCAAACCACGUUAAAUUUUUGGCGUCACUGAGUGCAUGAGUGUACUCUUUUAUUACCGCUUUUAUCCCUUCCGCUGUGUUGAUUUCCCCAACAACGGAGUCCUCAUGGCCUUUCUU
Molecule: long non-coding RNA, 195 nt
Organism: Juglans microcarpa x Juglans regia
Lineage: Eukaryota; Viridiplantae; Streptophyta; Magnoliopsida; Fagales; Juglandaceae
Exons: 4
Source: RefSeq, a predicted model, not a curated record